GACGAACGCUGGCGGCGUGCUUAACACAUGCAAGUCGAACGGAAAGGCCCUGCUUUUGUGGGGUGCUCGAGUGGCGAACGGGUGAGUAACACGUGAGUAGCCUGCCCUUGACUUUGGGAUAACUUCAGGAAACUGGGGCUAAUACCGGAUAGGAGCUCCUGCUGCAUGGUGGGGGUUGGAAAGUUUCGGCGGUUGGGGAUGGACUCGCGGCUUAUCAGCUUGUUGGUGGGGUAGUGGCUUACCAAGGCUUUGACGGGUAGCCGGCCUGAGAGGGUGACCGGCCACAUUGGGACUGAGAUACGGCCCAGACUCCUACGGGAGGCGGCAGUGGGGAAUAUUGCACAAUGGGCGGAAGCCUGAUGCAGCAACGCCGCGUGCGGGAUGACGGCCUUCGGGUUGUAAACCGCUUUCGCCUGUGACGAAGCGUGAGUGACGGUAAUGGGUAAAGAAGCACCGGCUAACUACGUG
This 468-nucleotide ribosomal RNA is filed under the name uncultured bacterium. RNAcentral's name for it is "partial 16S ribosomal RNA". It matches the Rfam family "Bacterial small subunit ribosomal RNA", at positions 28 to 507 of the family's 1533-position model. The record is from RNAcentral.